Molecule: non-coding RNA, 114 nt
Organism: Caenorhabditis elegans
Lineage: Eukaryota; Metazoa; Nematoda; Chromadorea; Rhabditida; Rhabditidae
Source: Ensembl
UUAUCAAAAACAAAAUGACGGCCUGGCAAUGUUGUGACGAAUAACGGCAAUAAAUUUUGGCUUUUGCAUUUGGUUUUAAAUCAAGUUUUAAAAUUGAAAACUAGGAUUUGAAAU